Molecule: ribosomal RNA, 418 nt
Filed under: uncultured Arthrobacter sp.
Lineage: Bacteria; Bacillati; Actinomycetota; Actinomycetes; Micrococcales; Micrococcaceae
Description: bacterial SSU rRNA
Rfam family: Bacterial small subunit ribosomal RNA
Source: RNAcentral
UGGGGAAUAUUGCACAAUGGGCGAAAGCCUGAUGCAGCGACGCCGCGUGAGGGAUGACGGCCUUCGGGUUGUAAACCUCUUUCAGUAGGGAACAAGGCUACACGUUGUGUGGUUGAGGGUACCUGCAGAAGAAGCGCCGGCUAACUACGUGCCAGCAGCCGCGGUAAUACGUAGGGCGCAAGCGUUAUCCGGAAUUAUUGGGCGUAAAGAGCUCGUAGGCGGUUUGUCGCGUCUGCCGUGAAAGUCCGGGGCUCAACCCCGGAUCUGCGGUGGGUACGGGCAGACUAGAGUGAUGUAGGGGAGACUGGAAUUCCUGGUGUAGCGGUGAAAUGCGCAGAUAUCAGGAGGAACACCGAUGGCGAAGGCAGGUCUCUGGGCAUUAACUGACGCUGAGGAGCGAAAGCAUGGGGAGCGAACA